GCGGGCGUGGCGGAACUGGUAGACGCGCCGGGUUUAGGUCCCGGUGGGGCGCGAGCCCCUUAGAGGUUCAAGUCCUCUCGCCCGCA
Molecule: transfer RNA, 86 nt
Filed under: Actinomycetota bacterium
Lineage: Bacteria; Bacillati; Actinomycetota
Description: tRNA-Leu
Rfam family: tRNA
About the family: Transfer RNA (tRNA) molecules are approximately 80 nucleotides in length. Their secondary structure includes four short double-helical elements and three loops (D, anti-codon, and T loops).
Source: RNAcentral